CCUCCAAGAUGCAAAUGAUUCUCGUGCCUCAGCCUCCCAAGUAGCUGGAAUUACAGGUGUGCACUACCAUGCCCAGCUGUUUUUUGUAGAGAUGGGGUUUCACCAUGGUCUCUACUAAACUCUGUCUCUACUAAAAAUACAAAAAUUACCCAGGCGUGGUGGCACAUGCCUGUAGUCCCAGCUACUCAAGAAGCUGAGGCAGGAGAAUCACUCGAACCUGGGAGGUGGAGGUUGCAGUGACCCAAAAUCAUGCACUCUAGCCUGGGGUCUCGCUUUUGCCCAGGUUAGAGUGCAGUGGCACAAUCAUAGUGGCUCACUGCAGCCUCAAACUCCUGGGCUGAAGGGAAUCCUCCCACCUCAGCCUCCCAAGUAGCUAGGACUAUAGGCAUGUGCCAUCAUGGCGAGUUAAUUUUUUGUGUGUUUUUAUUUUCUCGAGACAGAGUCUUGCUCUGUUGCUCAGGCUGGACUGCAAUGGCGUGAUCUUGGCUCACCGCAACCUCCACCUCCUGGGUUCAAGCGAUUCUCCUGCCUCAGCCUCCCGAGUUGCUGGGAUUACAGGUGCUGCCAUGGCCACGACUGUUGUUACACUCGAGCUGAGGAGGCCGGCUGCAGCCCCAAGACAGAGCGCUACUCCUGGCAGUGCGUCAAUCAGUGUCCUGUGCGGUUACCAUGCCAGCAAUGGUUCCUUUUGAGUUUCUGACAGAAGAUAGUGGUUUUCAUCCAAAUAAGUCAACUACUCUACCCCAUCCCUAAGCCACUUGUAUGGAAAGAAAAAGAGGAAGAAGCCAGUACUGCGACUGCGUAAGCUUCCCCCAGCAUCACCCGCUAUGAGAUGUGUGGCAGCUGAGACCCGGGAACUGCUCAAGGGCACCAGGCCCCAUCUGUCUGCACUCACUCACCUUCCUCAGGUACUCGCAUGGGCAUGUCACUGACUUUACGUGCUGCUGCAGCUCCUUGGUGAGCUGGCCCUGGUCAUGGGACAGGAACU
Gorilla gorilla gorilla (western lowland gorilla) is the source of this 988-nucleotide long non-coding RNA. RefSeq lists it as uncharacterized. The record is from RefSeq and is a predicted model, not a curated record. Lineage: Eukaryota; Metazoa; Chordata; Mammalia; Primates; Hominidae. The transcript is spliced from 3 exons.